UACGAAGGGGGCUAGCGUUGCUCGGAAUCACUGGGCGUAGAGCGCACGUAGGCGGAUCUUUAAGUCAGGGGUGAAAUCCCGAGGCUCAACCUCGGAACUGCCUUUGAUACUGGGGAUCUCGAGUCCGGAAGAGGUUGGUGGAACUCCGAGUGUAGAGGUGAAAUUCGUAGAUAUUCGGAAGAACACCAGUGGCGAAGGCGGCCAACUGGUCCGGUACUGACGCUGAGGUGCGAAAGCGUGGGGAGCAAACAGG
Molecule: ribosomal RNA, 253 nt
Filed under: uncultured bacterium
Lineage: Bacteria
Description: partial 16S ribosomal RNA
Rfam family: Bacterial small subunit ribosomal RNA
Source: RNAcentral